UCCCCUUUAAGGUAAACGGCGAGUGAGCGGCAAAAGCUCAAAUUUGAAAUCGGCCACCAGGUCGAGUUGUAAUUUGUAGAUUGUAUCUUGAGAGCGGAUUAAAGUCUGUUGGAACACAGCGCCUUAGAGGGUGACAGCCCCGUAAAAUCUAUUCUCAUUGUAAGAUACUUUCGAAGAGUCGAGUUGUUUGGGAAUGCAGCUCUAAGUGGGAGGUAAAUUCCUUCUAAAGCUAAAUAUUGACGAGAGACCGAUAGCGAACAAGUACUGUGAAGGAAAGAUGAAAAGCACUUUGAAAAGAGAGUGAAAAAGUACGUGAAAUUGUUAAAAGGGAAGGGUAUUGAAUCAGACUUGGUGCUGUUGUUCAACUGUGUUUCGGCAUAGUGUACUCAGCAGUACUAGGCCAAGGUGGGGUGUUUGGGAGUGAAAAAGAAGUUGGAAGGUAACUCUUCGGAGUGUUAUAGCCUACUUUCAUAGCUCCUCAGGCGCCUCAGGACUGCGCUUCGGCAAGGACCUUGGCAUAAUGAUUCUAUACCGCCCGUCUUGAAAAAAGGAACACCAA
Molecule: ribosomal RNA, 559 nt
Filed under: Geotrichum candidum
Lineage: Eukaryota; Fungi; Ascomycota; Dipodascomycetes; Dipodascales; Dipodascaceae
Description: eukaryotic LSU rRNA
Rfam family: Eukaryotic large subunit ribosomal RNA
Source: RNAcentral